Molecule: ribosomal RNA, 589 nt
Filed under: Rhodotorula mucilaginosa
Lineage: Eukaryota; Fungi; Basidiomycota; Microbotryomycetes; Sporidiobolales; Sporidiobolaceae
Description: eukaryotic LSU rRNA
Rfam family: Eukaryotic large subunit ribosomal RNA
Source: RNAcentral
CAAGGGAAGGCCCCUAGCAUCGGCGAGCGAAGCGAGGAAGAGCUCAAAUUUAUAAUCUGGCACCUUCGGUGUCCGAGUUGUAAUCUCUAGAAAUGUUUUCCGCGUUGGACCGCACACAAGUCUGUUGGAAUACAGCGGCAUAGUGGUGAGACCCCCGUAUAUGGUGCGGACGCCCAGCGCUUUGUGAUACAUUUUCGAAGAGUCGAGUUGUUUGGGAAUGCAGCUCAAAUUGGGUGGUAAAUUCCAUCUAAAGCUAAAUAUUGGCGAGAGACCGAUAGCGAACAAGUACCGUGAGGGAAAGAUGAAAAGCACUUUGGAAAGAGAGUUAACAGUACGUGAAAUUGUUGGAAGGGAAACGCUUGAAGUCAGACUUGCUUGCCGAGCAAUCGGUUUGCAGGCCAGCAUCAGUUUUCCGGGAUGGAUAAUGGUAAAGAGAAGGUAGCAGUUUCGGCUGUGUUAUAGCUCUCUACUGGAUACAUCCUGGGGGACUGAGGAACGCAGUGUGCCUUUGGCGGGGGUUUCGACCUCUUCACACUUAGGAUGCUGGUGGAAUGGCUUUAAACGACCCGUCUUGACCACCCGGAACAAA